RNAcentral lists this long non-coding RNA (9041 nucleotides) under Nicotiana tabacum (common tobacco). RNAcentral describes it as "long non-coding RNA (NTAB_LNC010860)". Lineage: Eukaryota; Viridiplantae; Streptophyta; Magnoliopsida; Solanales; Solanaceae. The record is from RNAcentral.
CUCAAGAUUUCCCAUGAUUUCUCGCUCAAAAAUCGCCCCAAGCUGCGUUUUUUUCGUCCAAAAAUGUGGGAAUGAGCUAAAAAAACAAGACAUCUCAAUAAAACACGAUUCUAGUUGCUAAAAACCCCAUUCCAUCACUAAAAAGUGCCAAAUCUGGUCGCUAAAGUUGCACACCAGAUCCUGCUGCACCAGCAAUAUUUAUUUUCACUAAAAAGGCUCUAACUACACCAUACGAACUCGAAAUUCGAUGAUUCUUGUUACUAUGAUUUACAAAUAAUAGUACAAACAUAGCCCUUCAAUCGAAACUCAAUUCAGAGCUCAUUUGCACAGUGCGAUACCCAUUUUGCUCGAUAAACAAUUAACUUAUGUUUCGCAUCAAAAACCCAAUCGUGACUUGAUGAAAUUAGACCAAACUUUCCAAAUCACUCCGAUAAUUCAUUAUCAAAAUUUCGGAAGUCCCGAAAUCAAACUUCGAUCUCUAGAACUAAAAACAGACCUUUGGAUCAUUACAUGAUUAUGCCCAAAACGACAAAAAUCUUCCAAAAACUCUUCCAAAACUUAUCUGAGCCUCAUGGGACCCGACCAAAUAUGCCAACACACCCCAUAACAUCAUUCAAACUUGUUUCAACCUUCAUAACACUCAAAACAAUAUCAAAAUAUCGAAUCACUCUCGGAUUCAAGCCAAGAAUUCCAAAACAUCUGAAUUCCGAAUUAGAUCAAAAGGUCUAUCAAACCUCGUCCGAAUGACCUGAAAAUAUGCAUACACGUCACAAAUGGCACAAUGGACCUACUUCAAUUUCUGGAAUUCCAUUCCGACCCUGAUAUCAAAAUUUCCACUACUGACCGGAAAACGGCAAAUUUCCAAUUUCGUCAAUUCGAACCUAAAUCUAUCACAGACCUCCAAAAUACAUUCCGGACGCCCUCCCAAGUCCAAAAUCACCUAACGGAGCUAACCAAAUCAUAGAAAUCCAAAUCUGAGAUCGAAUACUAAAAAUUCAAAACUUGGUCAAACCUUUCAAAUUUAAAGCUUCAAGCUGAGAAUGGUUCUUCCAAAUCUAUUUUGAUUGUCCUGAAAACCAAAACCGACGAUUUACAUAGAUCAUAAUACAUCAUACGUGGCUAGUCAUGCCCGAGAACUGGCAAGUGAAGUGCAAAUGCUCAAAAUGACUAGUCGAAUCGUUACAUAAAGGAAUCUAUAAUUUUCCACCUACGCAAGAACAAAGCUAGUAAAUUAAAUCCUAUUCUCGCCAGCUUGUAUUGAAAAGCUAAUUACAAGAAAAAGGACAACCUAAUUUGGCUAAGUUAUGCUAAAAUAGUCAACAAUUCAUUAUGGUCUAAAUUCAAACUCAAGAUAACAAUGGUAGCAAUUUUAUCUAUAACAGAGUUUUCUAUCAAACACAACAACCAAACCAUCAUUUAGCAUGCUCUAAACAGUUUUCUAUCAAGAAAUAGAAAAGGUUUUGCUGCUAACCUUGUAAGAAACAUACUGGCAGCAAAUUAUAAUCUUAAAAUAAAUAAACCAACGAAUACAAAGGACCUUUGAUGGAACGUAUUGUCCAUAUAUGAUUUAUCAGUUCAUUUAUUACGAUCUACCAAAUAAUAGAUGUAAAAAUCAUUUUAGAGCAGCAUUAGCCAGUUAAUUAGCUUUUUCUUCAAGUUUUAUACACUUUGUAUGCAUAUGCAUCAUACAUACACAUCACACAAUAGAGAACACAUCAGUACAUAGCACCAAUAUUUAACCUUAAUAUAGAAAUAGAUGAAAAUUGACCUCAAAUAUUUCCUCUACGAGUCCAUAAGACAAAUAUGGCAACGGUUUGAGCUUUAAGGGAUUAAUGGAGGAUUUUGGAGUGUUCCUCGGCAAAAAUGGCAACGGUUUGAGCUGCGGUUUUCACGUUGUUUAGAGAUGGUUUUACAGCUUUCUCGAGGCUGUGUUGUUGCAUUUUUUAGCUAGAAAUUCUAGCUAGUUUUUGGUGAUAUUUGGGCGAUUUGAAGGAAGGUUUAGAGGUGGUUCCGGAAAUAGCUGAUCGUGGUUGUUUGGGCUGCUUCUCAGUUGGGAUUUUUUGUGCUUUUUUUGGGGUAGUUAGGAUGGCAGCUCAUAGAAGAUGAUGGGCGUGGCUGAAGUUUUUAGAAUGGAGUCCGUGAGAGCUGCUGGUUCUCUUUUUAGUUGAAGAAAGGUAGAAACAGCUGUACAUGGGGGGGUUCUCUAGGGUUCGUAUAAAAUGGGGAGAUGAAGGGGUCUUUAGGUUAGCGGGUAUGGGCUUAGGUAUUAUGGGCUAGGUCCGAAUUGUGUCCUAAAAUUGGGCUCUAAGACUCUUAAGAUUGUGGUCCAAAACCUUAGUUAACUCCCUUUAAGAUAAGAUAAAAAUACUACACAAUGCAAAAACUAAUUCUAAUUAAUUAAAUUAAACUAUCUUAAAAUAUUAAACUAUUUUUUUUAUUUUCAAGAUUAUAUUAAGAUAAAAAUAAGGUACUUUUUUGUAUUUUUAAUUUUAUGAAAGGUACAUAAACCCAAAGUAACUAGAUAAAAUAUCAAUUAGCUAAAUAGAAGAAAAUAUUUUUGUAAUUUUGUAUUGUUGUUAUAAAAUAAAGUAAAAUAGUUAAAACUAGUUGAAAUAACGAUAUUAGGCCUAAACAAAAUAUUUCAAAGCUAAUAUAUGUAAAAUCUUAGGGAGGGUCAAAAAUCACAUGUCUACAGCUGCCCCUCUUUGACUGGAAACACGAAGUGUUUUCAAACAAAGAACGACGAGACAUGUUUUUUGACGAGACAUGUUUUUAGAGAGACCAAAAGCUAAAAGAAAGGAGAAUGUGACCGAGUCCUGGUAUCUGAGCUGCCUACAUAUCCUUGGAUAUAAAGGAAUCAGGUUAUGUGUAGUUCAAAAGUAGGAACAGUGGUAGGGUGUACCGAGGUGGAGAGCCGAUUGAGGUGUCGUCGAGGUUCCAGUCCGCGAUUCCUGCCAUUACUUCAAAAAUAAAAGGAAAAAUUACAGUAAAAAUAAAAGAAAAAAUACAAAAUCCUAUCUACUUUUUGUCAUGCUCUUUCUUGAAUCUCCAUUUGCUCUUUCAAAAAAUUCACCCCGUUCUUCAGGUGGGCCUCCUACUAACUUGAAUUUGAAGAAAACUGGAAGUUGACCCUGGUCUUCAGCCGGGCAUCCUGCUGUUUUCCCUUGAAAUAAACUUGAACUUUGAGUAGACUUGAGUUUGAAAACCUUGUUCCUCAGACGGAUCGUGCUACUUCUUAUUUGAAUUAAAAAUUGCCCCUAUUCUCCAGGCGAGAUCCUGUUGUCUUUUACUUGAAUCUUGAAUACUGGAAGUUAACCCUGCUCUUCAGGGGGGAUCCUCCUGCUUGAUUUUGACUUGAACUUGAAAACUGAAAGUUGACUCUACUCUUCAGGAGGGCUCCUGAUGCCUCUCACUUGAUCUUGAAAACUGAAAGUUAAUCCCGUUCUUCAGGCGGGAUUCUCCUUAUGCCUCUUGAACUUGAAAUUGAAACCCCAACACUGACCCUGUUCUUCAAGUGUGCUCCUGAUGCCUCUGACUUGAACUUGUAAACUAAAAGUUGACCCUAUUCUUCAGGCGGGAUUCUCCUAAUGCUUCUCUAACUUGAAAUUGAAAACUUAACAUGUUCUUCAUGUGGGCUCCUGAUGCCUCCUUGACUUUAACAUGUAAACUAAAACGUGUCCCUGUUCUUCAGGCGGGCUCCUAACGCUUCUCUAACUUGCACUUGAAACCAAUUUCUGAAAUAUUGACCCUCGUUCUUCAGGUGGGAUCCUCCUGCUUGAUCUCGAACGAAAUUGAAAGUUGACCCCGUUCUUCAGGCGGGUUCUUGGUGCUUCUUUGACUUGGACCUAAAACCGAUUUCUGAAAUGUUUCCCUCGUUCUCCAGGUGGGUGCAUGCAAUUAAAAAUAACAAAACAAAUAAAAUUUUCUACCCUAGUUUUCACUAGGAAGGUUUGUGAGUUGUUAACGAUAAUGUAAAUUACUUAUGCUAUUGAUGAAAGAUGCAAGGAUGAGGGUAAAACUAAAAAUUCAACUAAGAUGUGCGUCUCCUAUGAGAGCGUUCUUAAGGAAAACUAUAAGCUAAGCUUGACUAAAUUAAAAAUUACCCCUAUUCUUCAGGCAGGACCCUAAACUCAAGAAAACUAAGGAUUGAAAACCUAAGAAAACUAACAGCUGACCCUAUUCUCUAGGUGGGACCCCUGAACUUUAAGAGAAACUAAAUAUUGAAAUCUUAAGGAAACUAACAAUUGAUCCUAUUCUCCAGGCGGGACCCCUAAACUAAAUCCUAAGCACUUAAGAAAAUUAAAAAUGGCCCUAUUCUCCGGGUAGGGCUCCUGAACUUAAGGAAAGCUAAAGAUUAACAACUUAAGAAAACUAAAAUUGACCUUAUUCUCCAGGCGAGACCCCUGAACUCAAGGAAAACUAAGACUAACAACUUAAAGGAACAAUAAAUGACCCUAUUCUCUAGGAGGGAUCCCUGAACUCAAGGAAAACUAAAGACUAACCACUUAAGGAAAGUAAAACUAACCCUAUUCUGCAGGCGGGACCUCUGAACUUAAGAAAAACUAAAAACUCUUCUGACUAGGGAGAAUGCCUAGGAGAUAAUGGUCAUCUCAACUAGGUGAACGCCUAGCAAGUAAAAACCUUCUCAAACAACCUUUGUGCUGCCCAAAUUUGGGCAUUGCACUUGAAAAAUUCAAGCAUCCAAGCAUUGAUUUGGACACAGUUUUCAUCUCUGUUUGAAGCAAAGAAAACUUGUGAGUUUAAACAUAGUGGUUGGUUUGAGGCCUUGACUUUGAGAGCGAUUGCCCCUUCACUUGCCAUGAUAACUUUGAUUUUAACUUGAAAGACCUUGCUUGUUUAUUGACUAACCACUUUUCCUGUCACCCUUAUCACAGAACAUACCUCUGAUCUGUUCAAACCCAAUACCCUCUAUCUGUUGUAUUGUGCUCAUAAAUUGACAUAUACCAAACCUUUGUAUUUCACAUAAAUCUCAAAGCUGGUAGAAGAUUUUAAAGUCAUUCUUACUUGUUCCGGCAAAAUAGACUCGAGAGGACUUAGACAAAGCAAGAAGAACAAAGUUAAGAGGACAACGAAAAGAGAUGAUAUCUAACAAGAAAAUCACCAAGUAGAAACUUAUCAAAUGUGGAUACCAACUCUAAUGACUGUGACAUGCAUUCUGGAUUAAGUGGCCUAAUCUGUCACGCAAGUCUAAUGUUCAACUCUUGUAGUAUCUCUAAGCCGUGAAACUAGGUUUCGAUGCUCUGAUUAUCCUAUCUGAAUCAUGGUCCUUAUUUGACUUGUAAUGCCCGAAGGGUUUUCACCAUCAAGCCUCUCUCAUUUCUUUCUAUCAACUCAAUGUCGCCUUAUGGUGUCUGUGAAGGUUUUCACCAAUAAGACUCUCUCGUUUUGUUCUGUUGUUCUUAUUUCUUCUAAUUCUGCAGAUGACAAGGCAUUAACCAUAGUAAAAACAUCAUAUGCUCCUGGCAUGUCUAGCUUGGCACUCUCAAAGAUUAUCUGGGAGGUAUUUUUUAGACUGUAAUGUGGCUUUUGGACAGGGUUAGAAAGAAAGGAUAUCAUAAAGGCAAAAAUAACUAAGACAACAUGGUUAAUUUAUUUACAACUUUUGGAAUCCAUUAUAAAAACUUUGCCCCAAUUUCUAAUACAAGGGAAUUUGAUUCUUUUUUUUUUCUUUUUUCUUUUUGAGAUGGAUUUUCUAAGAAAGANNNNNNNNNNNNNNNNNNNNNNUGUUUUUGAAAUAUUUUUUUAAUGAAGUUUCUAAAACAAACCUUAUAGGGCAUGAAUUUUUUUCUUUUUUUUCCCUUUUUUUAUGUGAUGACUCUAACUCGAUUCCAAAAGAGGGAGGUCAAGAAAAUUAGCAUAGGUUCAAAAGGGGUACCAAAUGGUAUAAAGUGUUUAGGUAGCUGAAAGAGGGCCUCCCAAUCCAUGAAAAUGCCAAGUACAACAUUUCUUUUGAAGCUUUGGCAUUGAUGUCACUGAUAGGCCUUCUACUUUUUUUAGUGACUUGUCAAGUACAGAACUCUUGUUGGGUGAUUUCAUCACAAUGUAUACCCUCCGUCUGUUUGGAGCAAAAUCCCUUGGCUUUAUCUUGUUACUUGAUAUGUACUUGAACUCAAAGUUGCUCACUUCAAAUUAUCCGGGAUGCACUGUCCUUUAACGAAUUCUUGUAAUCCUAUUAACUUCCCAAAUUAUCUGCCCUAUUUUUACACACUUCUGGCUUUAAAUGAUCUCAAAAUGUCCAAAUAUGUACGUAUUUCCCUCAAAUGUCCCUAUCAUCUUCAAAAUUAUUUCAUUGUUUCAUGAUUAAACUAACUUUUAAGACCAGGCCUAGAAUUAUGCAUACAUGUCAUGUCACUAGAGCCAACAUGAAAAGAACUAUAAAAGGAGAAGAGAACUAAACAAAAAAUGACUAGAAAUAAUAUAAAACAGAAAAUUGCAUUAGAGAGAUGGUGAGAAGGGUUUGAACAACAAGACAAGCAAAAUAAACUAGGGUUACAACCCUGGAACAGACCUAGAGAACACUAAACGAGUUACUACGACUAAACAAACUAGCAAAACAAAAGGAUAGAAGGGUUUGAUUCCCAAGACAAUAUCUGGAUUACAACCCUAAAAUAACCCGGACAACAGAAAUAACAACAAAAUAAACCACCAGGACUCCCCCUGGCUAGCCAAGAAAGGAACAUCUUUCCAAUUACCAAGCUUGACAUCUUAGCCACUGAGCUCCACAUCAAUAUUACCAAGACCUUCACAAGUCUUCAUCACAUUGACCUUAGCAAAUUGCUUUUGGAUCCCUUUUACCGGCUCGUUCUUUAGAUCAACUGCCAGAACCGAGAGUGCUAAAAGCUUUGCGGCAAGUGGCCCUCUGAGGAUCUCAGAAGAGUUCUCAUAUUCCUUUUCAACACAAAUCAUACCCACCAUAUACGUCUCAUUAUGAACAGGCGAUGGACUUUGGCUAGUGUCUAGUGCAUCUGGAUUUUGCACAACAAUGUCACCUACCUCAAUAAGCUUAUGAACUGCUCUUUUCAGAUGCCAACACUUUUCUAUGCUGUGAGCCGGGGCAUUAGAGCAAUAUGCGCACCUUUGAGAAUAAUCAAAAUUCUAUGGAAGGAGGUUCGAAAUUUUUAUCUGAAUUGGCUUCAACAUGUCUAAUUGCCUCAACCUUUGGAACAAACUAGCAUAUGAUUCUCCAAUAGGAGUGAAAGUCUUUUCUUUUUCCUGUUGCCUUUUCAUUUUGUACUCUAACCUCAGCUGGAACCUUUUGCGGGUAGGUGGUUGCUAUGCUUGAGGAGGUGGGUAAGACAUUUGCGGAAGUGGUGCAGACCAUCGCGGGUCCUGUAGAUGUGGAGCAUAUGGUUGUGCAUUAUGGAUGGAGUACUGGGAAGGUGAGGUAUGACUUUGGGGAUUUUAUGGAGAGAAGUAGCAUUGGGGAGGAUUAUCUGGAGCACAAGGAUAUCCAUGGGGUCGAUAUUGAGGCUGAAAGCGUUGAGCAGGAAUGCCCACUGGAUCAUGUCGUUGGCGGGGCUCAACAACAUCUUUUCUAUUUCUUUUCUUUCCACCCAAACUUACUGAGAUGUUCUGAAUGUCUUCUGUAGUAUCUUUCAAAGCAGAAUAGCUCCUGAUUUUGCGUGACUUGAUUCCCUCUUCUACCAUCUCCCCUAUUUUUACCACAUCAUUGAAAGGUUUACCCAAGGCUAGGAUCAAAUAACUGAAGUAGGUGGGGCCAUGUGCCUAUAGAAAAAGCUCAACCAUUUCUUCUUCACCAAUCGGGGGACUGACCCGAGCAGCUUGUUCCCUCCAUAUGAGCCCAAACUUCCUAAAACUUUCUUCGAGUUUCUUUUCCAUCUUAGAUAGGGAGGAGCGGUCUGGGAUAAUAUCUAGAUUGUACUGAAAGUGUCGAACAAAAUCUUGAGUCAUGUCAUCCCAUGCAUGCCACUUACUAACAUCUUGACGGGUAUACCAUUCCAAGGCUGCCCCAGUCAAGCUCUCACUGUAAUUUUCCACUUACGCAAAAACAAAGCUAGUAAAUUUAAUCCUAUUCUCGCCAGCUCGUAUUGAAAUGCUAAUUACCAGAAAAAGACAACCCAAUUUGGCCAAGUUAUGAUAAAAUAGUCAACAAUUAAUAAUGGUAUAAAUUCAAACUCAAGAUAACAAUGGUAGCAAUUUUAUGUAUAACAGAAUUUUUUAUCAAACACAACAACCAAACCAUCACUUAUCAUGCUCUAAACAGUUUUCUGUCAAGAAAUAGAAAAGGUUUUGCUGGUAACCUUGUAAGAAACAUACUGGCAGCAAAUUAUAAUUUUAAAAUAAAUAAACCAACAAAUACAAAGGACCUUUGAUGGAACAUAUUGUCCAUAUACGAUUUAUCAGUUCAUUUGUUACGGUCUACCAUAUAAUAAGAUGUAAAAAUCAUUUUAGAGCAGCAUUAGCCAGUUAAUUAGCUUUUUCUUCAAUUAGUAUACACUCUGGAUGCAUACGCAUCAUGCAUACACAUCACACAAUAGAGAACACAUCAGUACACAACACCGAUAUUUAAUCUUAAUAUAGAAAGAGAUGAAAAUUGACCUCAAAUAUUUCCUCUACAAGUCCAUAAGACAAAUAUGUCAAGCCCCUAACCGAAACUCGACACAGCGAUUUGAGCUGCUGUUUUCACGUUGUUUAGAGAUGGUUUUACAUCUUUCUCGAGGCUGUGUUGUUGCGUUUUUUAGCUGGAAAUUCUAGAUAAUUUUUUUUGGUGAUGUUUGGGCGAUUUGAAGGAAGGUUUAGAGGUGGUUCCGGAAAUAGCUGAUCGUGGUUGUUUGGGCUGCUUCUCAGUUGGGAUUUUUUGUGCUUUUUUUGGGGUAGUUAGGAUGGCAGCUCAUAGAAGAUGAUGGGCGUGGCUGAAGUUUUUAGAAUGGAGUCCGUGAGAGCUGCUGGUUCUCUUUUUAGUUGAAGAAAGGUAGAAACAGCUGUACAUGGGGGGGUUCUCUAGGGUUCGUAUAAAAUGGGGAGAUGAAGGGGUCUUUAGGUUAGCGGGUAUGGGCUUA